GACGAACGCUGGCGGCGUGCUUAACACAUGCAAGUCGAACGGAAAGGCCCUGCUUUUGUGGGGUGCUCGAGUGGCGAGCGGGUGAGUAACACGUGAGUAACCUGCUCUUGACUUUGGGAUAACUUCAGGAAACUGGGGCUAAUACCGGAUAGGAGCUCCUGCUGCAUGGUGGGGGUUGGAAAGUUUCGGCGGUUGGGGAUGGACUCGCGGCUUAUCAGCUUGUUGGUGGGGUAGUGGCUUACCAAGGCUUUGACGGGUAGCCGGCCUGAGAGGGUGACCGGCCACAUUGGGACUGAGAUACGGCCCAGACUCCUACGGGAGGCAGCAGUGGGGAAUAUUGCACAAUGGGCGGAAGCCUGAUGCAGCAACGCCGCGUGCGGGAUGACGGCCUUCGGGUUGUAAACCGCUUUCGCCUGUGACGAAGCGUGAGUGACGGUAAUGGGUAAAGAAGCACCGGCUAACUACGUG
Molecule: ribosomal RNA, 468 nt
Filed under: uncultured bacterium
Lineage: Bacteria
Description: partial 16S ribosomal RNA
Rfam family: Bacterial small subunit ribosomal RNA
Source: RNAcentral